Molecule: long non-coding RNA, 688 nt
Filed under: Glycine max (soybean)
Lineage: Eukaryota; Viridiplantae; Streptophyta; Magnoliopsida; Fabales; Fabaceae
Description: long non-coding RNA (GMAX_LNC003096)
Source: RNAcentral
CGGAGAGGAGGAUGAAAAUGUAAGACCUAUUUGUAAAUAAAUAAAUAAAAAUAUUCUUGAUAGAAACUUCCAAUAGAAUCAGGCAGGGUCAGCAAAUCACAACAAAACCUCACAUUCCAAGCUCUAACAAAAAGGAAGUUUCUCAAACACAGAAGAAGAAGAAGAAGAAAACCAUGUUACAAUGCCUUGAGCUUUUCUCUGCUGUCAUCUUAACAUUUUUAUUUCAAACAAAAAGAAAGAAGAAAAGAAAAGAAAAAAGAAAAACAGAAAAUGACAGACAUAAAAUGCAGCAGCAGGAGGCAGGAGCAGACUCAUGAUGCAUACGGUAGUUCAAGCCGAUUUGGUUGCCAGCGGCGCCUUGUUCUUCGCCGGAGAAGUGGCGGCGAGAGGAGAGUCUUUGAUCUCUUGGUGGGUCUGAAUGCGUGAGGCUUGGGCGGCAGCGGCGGUUCCGGUUUCUUCGGUGAUGAUUUGUGUGAAGUCAAAGGGCUUAGUGAGGUCGGCGGCGGCGAAGAGGUCCGGCGGAAGGGCUUGGGAGGGUUGGCGUCGAUGACGGGACAUGGUUACUUCUUGUUCGUACUACCAAUGAGUCUGAGAGGAAAGGAGAGAGUGGAUGUGAAAGAGUGAACAUGACAAUAAAUGUGAAUGUGAUUGGGAUUUUAUGGGGAUGGCAAACAAACUGGUUUGGUUG